RNAcentral lists this ribosomal RNA (408 nucleotides) under uncultured bacterium. Its description in RNAcentral is "partial 16S ribosomal RNA". It matches the Rfam family "Bacterial small subunit ribosomal RNA", at positions 28 to 526 of the family's 1533-position model. The record is from RNAcentral.
GACGAACGCUGGCGGCGUGCUUAACACAUGCAAGUCGAACGAAGUGGCGAACGGGUGAGUAACGCGUAAUCAACCUGCCCUUCAGAGGGGGACAACAGUGGGAAACGACUGCUAAUACCGAAUACUGAAGGAGGGGAUUGCGUCUGUUUAGCUAGUUGGAGGGGUAACGGCCAACCAAGGCGAGGAGCAGUAGCCGGUUUUAGAGGAUGAACGGACACAUUGGGACUGAGACACGGCCCAGACUCCUACGGGAGGCAGCAGGGGGGAAUCUUCCGCAAUGGAAGAAAGUCUGACGGAGCAACGCCGCGUGAGUGAUGACGGCCUUCGGGUUGUAAAGCUCUGUUAAUCGGGACGCGGUACCGGAAUAGAAAGCCACGGCUAACUACGUGCCAGCAGCCGCGGUAAUAC